UUUCCUUUCAGACACAAAUCGUUUUGGCCAAAGCCCAGGAGAUCUAAAGCAGGUCCAUCUUUCCAGUGGUGCCAGGGAAGACUAGAGCUGGAGGAGAUGUGAUUCUGAAGACCUGCAACCAUUUUGUGUUCAAUGGCACUGAAAAGCAACUCCUCUGCCAUAAGGUGCUGUUUGAGGCUGAAAACUCUUUUCAGUGUGGCUGCAAACCGGUGAAACCAGCUGCAACCGAACAGGCAGGUUUCCCGUUCUCUCCUGCACUUUGGUCUGUGAGCCCUCACUGAACUCACAUGUUCAGCUCAGGAAGGAAAGCAAACCCAGACACCACACAAGCGAGCAAUGGAGGAAAUACUGCAGAGCUCAUAUUGGAUGAUACAUGCAACUGUUCUUCAAAGUACAGUGAAGAAAAGAGGUACUCGUAGCAAAGACCAUCUUGCACAAGAAACCUUUAGUGAGUGGGGACUGCGCAUCACGGUCACUCCACUGCCACAGCCAGACUGCUCAGUCUGCAGUACCUUGGAUCCCAGGGAUGCUACAGACUAAUUGAAGAACAUUAUUCCUGCUCAAAGGAUCCCAGUGAGCCCAUCUCACAGACCAGCACAACAAGCUGAAGAUCCACAGUGUCUCCCUGAGAGCCUGCUGCUUUGCUACAAUCCAAGGACCUCCAGGAGUUCAAGCCACUCUCCACAUUAGCUUCUCCUGCAUGUUGGGGUGCUGGGGGCUCCCCAUGGCCAGGACAAGAGGCCAGGGUCAGGUGUGGGAGGGCUGCCAUGGGGCAGGGGUUGGCUGGGGCUGCCCGACUCUGGCGUCGGUAUUUCUGCUGAGAACAAGGGCUGCUCAGCAUCCUGUAUUGAUUUGCCUCACCCAAGGUCACCUUAGAAUCUGAUUUAUAUUAAGAAAAUCAAUUUUUCAAAAAGUCGUUGCUGAAAGCAAUGCUUGACUUCUAAAUUCAGAGCACAGCUGGGCAUGUGUCUGGAUUACCCAAUUCUUAUUAAAGGCAGAAGGAAAUCUGCCCACACCAUAGCUUUGUACUGGAAACACAUACAAUGAAAUUGCUAUUACUCACUAUUGUAACUCAAAAAGACUUAAAAGCAUAAGACUGCUUCCUUUUCUAUAUAAUUCCUAUAAUUUUGGCUUUUCCCAACCCCACCUAAAGUUGCUAGCAGAUCUGCUUUGUCCUGGGAAGGAAAAAGGGGUUUUGAAAUGCAGUCCUUUCCAAGUAUUUUGCCCCAGUUUCAUCAUUUCCUUCCUCAGUGAAACAUGCAUAUUCACCUCUUUUUUAUUAACAGACAAUCAGAUGAUACUUAGUCAUCCAUUAGUCAAGGUUCUGCACAGAUGUCAUGCAAUGUGCACAGGAACUCAGUAGUGUAAUGUCAGGAUUAUUUCCCUGCUUC
Molecule: long non-coding RNA, 1391 nt
Filed under: Junco hyemalis (dark-eyed junco)
Lineage: Eukaryota; Metazoa; Chordata; Aves; Passeriformes; Passerellidae
Description: lncRNA (ENSJHYG00000016690.1)
Source: RNAcentral